Molecule: ribosomal RNA, 405 nt
Filed under: uncultured soil bacterium
Lineage: Bacteria
Description: bacterial SSU rRNA
Rfam family: Bacterial small subunit ribosomal RNA
Source: RNAcentral
CAGCCGCCGCGGUAAUUCGGAGGGUGCAAGCGUUAUCCGGAUUCACUGGGUUUAAAGGGUGCGUAGGUGGGCAGGUAAGUCAGUGGUGAAAUCUCCGGGCUUAACCCGGAAACUGCCGUUGAUACUAUCUGUCUUGAAUAUCGUGGAGGUGGGCGGAAUAUGUCAUGUAGCGGUGAAAUGCUUAGAUAUGACAUAGAACACCAAUUGCGAAGGCAGCCCGCUACACGGUUAUUGACACUGAGGCACGAAAGCGUGGGGAUCAAACAGGAUUAGAUACCUUGGUAGUCCACGCCCUAAACGAUGGAUACUCGACAUAUGCGAUACACUGUAUGUGUCUGAGCGAAAGAAUUAAGUAUCCCACCUGGGAAGUACGACCGCAAGGUUGAAACUCAAAGGAAUUGACGG